AAAGGAAUAGACGGGGGCCCGCACAAGCAGCGGAGCGUGUGGUUUAAUUCGAGGCUACACGAAGAACCUUACCUGGGCUUGACAUGGCGGUGGUAGGGAACCGAAAGGGGACCGACCUUCGGGAGCCGUCACAGGUGCUGCAUGGCUGUCGUCAGCUCGUGUCGUGAGAUGUUCGGUUAAGUCCGGUAACGAGCGCAACCCUCGUCGCCAGUUACACGCUGUCUGGCGAGACUGCCCGUAGAAAGCGGGAGGAAGGUGGGGAUGACGUCAAGUCAGCAUGGCCUUUAUGUCCAGGGCUACACACACGCUACAAUGGCCGGUACAAUGGGGCGCCAACCCGCGAGGGGGAGCCAAUCCGCCAAAGCCGGUCUCAGUUCGGAUUGCAGGCUGCAACCCGCCUGCAUGAAGUCGGAGUUGCUAGUAACCGCAGGUCAGCUAUACUGCGGUGAAUACGUUCCCGGGCCUUGUACACACCGCCCGU
Molecule: ribosomal RNA, 481 nt
Filed under: uncultured bacterium
Lineage: Bacteria
Description: bacterial SSU rRNA
Rfam family: Bacterial small subunit ribosomal RNA
Source: RNAcentral